Molecule: ribosomal RNA, 402 nt
Filed under: uncultured bacterium
Lineage: Bacteria
Description: bacterial SSU rRNA
Rfam family: Bacterial small subunit ribosomal RNA
Source: RNAcentral
UGGGGAAUCUUGGACAAUGGGGGAAACCCUGAUCCAGCCAUGCCGCGUGGGUGAAGAAGGCCCUAGGGUCGUAAAGCCCUUUCGGCGGGGAAGAUGAUGACGGUACCCGCAGAAGAAGCCCCGGCUAACUCCGUGCCAGCAGCCGCGGUAAGACGGAGGGGGCUAGCGUUGUUCGGAAUCACUGGGCGUAAAGGGCGCGUAGGCGGUCCAUCAAGUCAGGGGUGAAAGGCCUGGGCUCAACCUGGGAACUGCCCUUGAAACUGGUGGACUUGAGUCCGGGAGAGGGUAGCGGAAUUCCCAGUGUAGAGGUGAAAUUCGUAGAUAUUGGGAAGAACACCAGUGGCGAAGGCGGCUACCUGGACCGGGACUGACGCUGAGGCGCGAAAGCGUGGGGAGCAAACA